RNAcentral lists this ribosomal RNA (596 nucleotides) under Ichthyosaura alpestris (Alpine newt). RNAcentral describes it as "partial 16S ribosomal RNA". It matches the Rfam family "Bacterial large subunit ribosomal RNA", at positions 1797 to 2619 of the family's 2925-position model. Lineage: Eukaryota; Metazoa; Chordata; Amphibia; Caudata; Salamandridae. The record is from RNAcentral.
CGCCUGUUUAUCAAAAACAUCGCCUCUUGCUAAGCACAGUAUAAGAGGUCCCGCCUGCCCAGUGAUCAUUUUCAACGGCCGCGGUAUUAUGACCGUGCAAAGGUAGCGUAAUCACUUGUCUUUUAAAUAAAGACCCGUAUGAAAGGCAAAACGAAAGUUCAACUGUCUCUUUGAUCUUAUCUGUGAAAUUUAUUUCUCCGUGCAGAAGCGGAGAUAGUUAUAUAAGACGAGAAGACCCUAUGGAGCUUCAAAUACAAAACCAACUACAACCACACCCUUAGCCAACAGGCAAAAAAUUAAUAAAUGUAAUUAUGGUUUAAAUUUUCGGUUGGGGCGACCACGGAGUAAAAAUUAACCUCCACGACAUGUAAUUUAGAACAACACUUCGAAAACUAAAACAUUUAUUUUUGAUGAUCCACUAAGUGACCAACGAACCAAGUUACCCUAGGGAUAACAGCGCAAUCCUUUCUAAGAGUUCAUAUCGACGAAUGGGUUUACGACCUCGAUGUUGGAUCAGGACACCCAAAUGGUGCAGCCGCUAUUAAAGGUUCGUUUGUUCAACGAUUAAAGUCCUACGUGAUCUGAGUUCAGACCGG